UUAAGACUCUCACCACUGUACUUACACGAGACAUCCAACCUCCCAAGGCCAGCAUCGACGACGACUGUCUGCGUGGUGCUAUCUGCGGUUCUUCUACAUCGAGCUCAAACACGCGGACGACCUGCUUGCCUCCGCCUCUUCUGCAAGCAUGACGGCAUCUCUUCAACCUCCUGUGUGGAGGCCCUUCCUCCAAGCUGCUGGAGCUCGACACCUGGUCUCCACCAAGUGGUCUGUCCCCGGUGGUUCCAUGGCGUCCAGCGGCGACAGAGCUUCGUCGGAUUCGGGUGUUCGAGCGUAUGUGCCUAGUUCCUCGGCGGCGACGCCUUGAGGAUGCCGGCGACUGGUGGUGGUGGCGGAGGCGCCUAGGGACCUGGUUGCUUUUCCAGAUUUUGUUCCAGGUUGUUUUUCCUAAUUCUAGAGGGAAAUCCAGGUCGGCUUCUGUAGGCCCUUCUCUCCCCCGCUCGGUGGUGGACGGCGCGGAACGAACGCGUCGAGCGGCGUCGUUGCGCUGGUGUAGGGCAUAGCGGCGCGGUACCAACCGGCGGCGAGCGCUGGCGGCGGAUUCCUGCGCGCUGGUCGUCCACGCGGAGGGCUUGGUGAAGAUGGCGGCUGUCGAGCGCUCAGGCACCAUCCUUCCGGUCGAUACGGACGCCGCUCGAUCGCUACAGCGUCAAAAUCCGCCAGCUCCUCCUCCGCGCGCGGAGUGCGUUCCAGAAGAGCGGAUUACCCGAGCGGGAGCUGCGGCAAGGCAGAGUUCGGCCGUUUGCCGCCUCCUACCGUACUCCGUAGCUGCGCCUCCGUCUGCUUGCUCCAUGCGCGGGGCGCACAUGAGCGAUUCAGAGACUAAACCUGCAUCGGUGAUUGGGUAUUUUCCAGGGUGAGUUUCUGCUUUUGCCGCUGAGGGUGACUCCUGAAUCCCCUCAUGUAUCCCAGCUACUGACUUUCUCUUCAAUACGUGGGAUGGCACCUUGGAUAGCUCAUAACUUCACCUCUGCCAAUGUUUUUUUCCAUGACUUUUCUAAAUUUGUGCUGCAAUGGUGUUGUCCCAAGCACCAGGAGGCUGUUGGGCUGCGCGGCUGUUGCCUUUCGGGAGGCUAUUGGGUUGUGCGGCUGUUGCCAUCAGUACUGGCGCCGAAUUAUUUGCUUGCUACGUCUGCCUUUCUAUUCAGGAGGGGAAUUGGUGUUUGGCCUGUUUCCUCCCUUGCGUGCUCAGCCUCCUACUGACGUACUAAGCUGAAAUCUGUCUUCACGAGUGACCUGGUGGAUAUGAAGAUGGUGCGUGUGUUCCUUUGCUUUUGGUUCCGUUUUUUGGUUCUUCCAUUUAAUUCUUUGUUGAUCUGUCUAGGCGAAUUGGUGAUCCCUCUGCUCCUAAUUCCGUUGAGCCAUAUUUGACAGUAUCCUUUGGCUCUGUUUAUCCUCCAUUUUCAGGGUGUUCUUCUUCAGAUGAUGUCAGGUAGUUUGUCCUUCCAUGUCCUUUCUUUUGUGAUUUUGGUUGUGCCUAACCAAUUGAAGUUUUGUUCAACAGUGAGUUGGGAUUUCAAUGUACAUUUCUCUUGCUUUUUUCUCAUCUUACAAAUGGGGCUAUUACUCCUAGGUGAGCACAUACAACAUAUAUUAUUGUUGUAUAUCAUGUCAGACUGUAAUGACCAUUGAUUACCAUGCAUAGGGAGACAUGAUAAUUCAUGAAGAUAAAUGAUGUGACAUACAAGAACUUGGAUUCGAUAAAGCAGCAAAGUGCAAACUCAAAAUUGUAUCUGCCCACAGUUAGUAGUAGAAUGGUAGGCCAUAGAGGCUCUGAAGUAGUGAAAGCACCUAUAGCUGGGUGCAGAAGGAUCGAUUGGGUACACCACGGAGAAUAAACCUAGAUAAUUUCUCUGAGCGUGUAAUAUUGAGUUCUAAUUCAAAAGCAUGGUUGCGCCUUAGCUUUUUUUUACUAUAUUAUAGUCCUACCAUUACUAAUUUUCACCAUCUUCAACUGUAAAUAUGUCAUAUCAAAAAGUUCGAUUUCCAAUGGGAGAUAUCAGUUUUCGGUACAUUGUCAGAAACGGAGGUAAAGUAUCUUAGUUCCCGGUACAAUGCUUUAGCAGUACUCUGCGAAGUUGCCAAAUGAUAAGAAUUCUAUUAUCUGAAGAUACAGAUAGACAUGUAGAGCCGCCAAAUACAGCAGUACUUUCUAAUUUAUACAUCUACUUAUAACUUGAGUUAUUGUGUUAUCUGAAGAUACAGAUUGACAUCUAGAUCCGCAAAAUACACUGAUUCGAAUUAAUUUGGAUCGAAAGGAGUACUGUAUUUUGUGGAUUUAGAGACUAUUUACUAGCUACUAGGCAUAAUGUACCUAGAAUUGCUACACAAUUGACAGCCUUCAUACCAUCUGCUAAAAAUGGAUCAUGUCGGUGAAGUGAAUUUAUAAUUUUAUCUCUUAUGUGUAAUUAAAUCCAUGUAAGUUCUACACGAGUACCCGAGAUUGUUAUCCAUCUUUUUGGCUCCAUCUAAAUUGGUCGUGUUGACUAUAUCAGAGAUAGAAUGUAGUACUCAAUUGUAUCAGAUUGGUUUCCUAUUGCAUUCUAGGAUAUUUGAACUCCAAGAUGUUAAAUAUUUUGCACUCACUUUUUUCCUGAAAAAUAGCCACCAUCCCUUUAUUGAUGACAGUGAAGUGAUUCCAGACUUGACAUGCCGCAGCUUAUUCCUAGCUUGGUACCGAGGAGGGUAGGAUCUUCCCCUCUAUCCUAUGGCGCGCCCUUGACCUGCUGCUCCGGGGCAGUUUUGUCUAGCGGCAGCACAGAUAUGCCAUCUCUACAGCUGCUAACAAUUACGUGCUUAUUUAGGUGAUGAUUAGUUUCCAUACUACGCUUCAGCUGUCUUCACAUUAGAGCAUGACGCCGAUGCCUGCCUUGGACAUCAGAAUGCCAUGACAUGCAGUUUUCUGAGCUCCUGCAUGGCGCCCGGAACCUGUUGCUCUCUGCGGUGUGUUACAAAUCAUGUCAUAUUCCUACUUCAUUUGCUACCGGAGUGUCUUAGAGAUCACUUUACCAGUAGUGUGAUGCACAUGUUUGCUGCUUGCAAAUAGACUAGAUUUUAAUACAAUGACCAACAAUACAUGAAGCUCAUGUUAACGUGUUCUAUUAUACUGUACAGUUUGUACUGUAUACCUAGGCAUGUGUGUGGAUAUGGUUAUUUGUUUCA
Lolium perenne is the source of this 3183-nucleotide non-coding RNA. Lineage: Eukaryota; Viridiplantae; Streptophyta; Magnoliopsida; Poales; Poaceae. The record is from RefSeq and is a predicted model, not a curated record.